RNAcentral lists this transfer-messenger RNA (400 nucleotides) under Marinilabiliaceae bacterium JC017. It matches the Rfam family "transfer-messenger RNA". From Rfam's summary of the family: Bacterial tmRNA, also known as 10Sa RNA or SsrA, is named for its dual tRNA and mRNA-like properties. Its role is to liberate the mRNA from a stalled ribosome. The record is from RNAcentral. Lineage: Bacteria; Pseudomonadati; Bacteroidota; Bacteroidia; Marinilabiliales; Marinilabiliaceae.
GGGGCUGAUCUGGAAUUGACAGCAUGGCAAAGUGGUAUGUAAGCAUGUCGAGCGUUGUGAUACUGGCUCGUAAAUCCCGGUUCUCAACUUUUUUAAUUGGCGAAAAUAAUUACGCUCUUGCAGCUUAAUCGAAGUAUAGUAGAUAAGCUAUAUUCCCGCUCAAGGUAGCAGGAACAAGACAUCUCCCGGGUGCUAGCGUCUUGAGGCGGCCCGAUCCGGAGGUGCAGAAAAUCGAGACUAGGAAAUAACAAGCCUUGGGUUGUUUCCGAAAUUAAAAGGAUAAGGUAACAGUCGGUGGCUUUGAUCCAGCCGUUACUCGAAAAUCAAGUCAAAGCUAAACAUGUAGAAAGCAUAUGGCUUCCUUGUCUGGACCGGGGUUCGAUUCCCCGCAGCUCCACUU